This 781-nucleotide long non-coding RNA is filed under the name Androctonus crassicauda. The record is from RNAcentral. Lineage: Eukaryota; Metazoa; Arthropoda; Arachnida; Scorpiones; Buthidae.
GGCAAAUGUUUUAUUGAAAUUCGGUAUUUAUAUAAGAAAAAAUAAAAAAAAAAAAUAGUUAUUUUCUUUCCUGGAAGUCGUCAAUCCUUUAUUGAACAAAAUGGCAACGUGCCAGAGUUUUAUUUUCUCUCUGUAGACAUUCGCAAACACGGUUAUGCACUUCUGCCAGCAUUCUCUCGUCUCUGAUGGGCUCACUAUAUUUUUAAGGUCGAUUUGAAUUAAUUAAAGUGAAAAGAAAAAACUACAAUCAUUUUUUUUGUUUAAAGGACAAUAAAAAUAAUACUGAUUUCUUUGAUUAAAACUGCCUGUAAAUACAGUGAAAAUUAAAUUUCAUACAGAUUAAGACUCCUUUUCGUAACUAGAUUUUGCUCUUCUUGAGUUCAAUCCGGGGUUAAAGAUAAUUAUGGAUCUCUUUUCCGAAAACUCCCAAUUUAGAGUCUGUUGGCAGUGUGUGUGCAUCUCCUCGCGCCUAAAAAACAUGCUGCAUUAUCGGAUAUACGCCCAGGAGGAAAAAAAAAGCAUCAUUUAUUCUUUUAAAACCUUCCCCAGAGUUCAGUUUUUUUCUUUGUUUCUCCAUCGCCACAUUUCCAUUCGCUUGGUGCACGUAAUCCUAUUUACAGAAAACGUUUCUUUACGUUGCUAGGACUUUAUUAAUUGUCGUUUGCAUAGUUUAAUCGAGAGAGAAAUGCGUUGAGCGUACUUGUUGAUUGAAAACGAGUUUUUGUUUGCAUUUUCAGUGCCAAUCCAGAACCUCUGGAAGAAAUGGGUGAGUCAUCGCCAC